Molecule: ribosomal RNA, 378 nt
Filed under: uncultured bacterium
Lineage: Bacteria
Description: bacterial SSU rRNA
Rfam family: Bacterial small subunit ribosomal RNA
Source: RNAcentral
AUACGUAGGGUGCAAGCGUUGUCCGGAAUUAUUGGGCGUAAAGAGCUCGUAGGCGGUUUGUCGCGUCUGCUGUGAAAACCCGAGGCUCAACCUCGGGCCUGCAGUGGGUACGGGCAGACUAGAGUGCGGUAGGGGAGAAUGGAAUUCCUGGUGUAGCGGUGGAAUGCGCAGAUAUCAGGAGGAACACCGAUGGCGAAGGCAGUUCUCUGGGCCGUUACUGACGCUGAGGAGCGAAAGCGUGGGGAGCGAACAGGAUUAGAUACCCUGGUAGUCCACGCCGUAAACGUUGGGAACUAGAUGUGGGGACCUUUCCACGGUCUCCGUGUCGCAGCUAACGCAUUAAGUUCCCCGCCUGGGGAGUACGGCCGCAAGGCUAAA